UACAUGGGGUGCAAACGUUGCUCGGAAUUAUUGGGCGUAAAGCGCGCGUAGGCGGUUACUUAAGUCGGAUGUGAAAGCCCUCGGCUUAACUGAGGAAGUGCACCCGAAACUGAGUAGCUAGAGUACGAAAGAGGGUCGCGGAAUUCCCGGUGUAGAGGUGAAAUUCGUAGAUAUUCGGAAGAACACCAGUGGCGAAGGCGACUCACUGGACGACUGUUGACGCUGAGGUGCGAAAGCGUGGGGAGCAAACAGG
RNAcentral lists this ribosomal RNA (253 nucleotides) under uncultured bacterium. RNAcentral's name for it is "partial 16S ribosomal RNA". It matches the Rfam family "Bacterial small subunit ribosomal RNA", at positions 524 to 776 of the family's 1533-position model. The record is from RNAcentral.